RNAcentral lists this ribosomal RNA (497 nucleotides) under uncultured bacterium. Its description in RNAcentral is "partial 16S ribosomal RNA". It matches the Rfam family "Bacterial small subunit ribosomal RNA", at positions 28 to 507 of the family's 1533-position model. The record is from RNAcentral.
GAUGAACGCUGGCGGCGUGCCUAAUACAUGCAAGUCGAGCGAACAGACGAGGAGCUUGCUCCUCUGACGUUAGCGGCUGACGGGUGAGUAACACGUGGAUAACCUACCUCUAAGACUUGGAUAACUUCGUGAAACCGGUGCUACUACCGGAUAAUAUAUUGAACCGCAUGGUUCAAUAGUUAAAGACGGUUUUGCUGUCACUUAUAGAUGGUUCCGCGUCGCAUUAUCUAGUUGGUAAGGUAACGGCUUACCAAGGCGACGAUGCGUAGCGGACCUGAGAGGAGGAUAGGACACACUGGAACUGAGAAAGGGUCCAGACACAUACGGGAGGAAGCAGUGGGGAAUAUUGGACAAUGGGCGCAAGACUGACAAAGCAAUAAAGAGAGGAUGAAGAAGGCAUUAGGGUUGUAAAGCCCUUUUGUUGGGAAAGAAAAGAAGAAGGUUCAUACCCCGCUGUUAUGACGGUACCCAAAGAAUAAGAAACGGCUAACUUCGUG